GGGGGGGGGCGGGGGAGACCAUCAUUUAAAUUCUAAAACCUGCUUCUUGUUUGGAUGGCAAUUAGCUGUCCUCUCUGAGGUUGCCCACUGUUUCGAUUCUCUCCAAAGACGCUAAUUAAAUGAGCUUCCUUCUCUUUUUGUAUCUCACUUUCUGCAGCAAGGUGUUCUCUCUUUCUUCUUGCUCCAUCUUGAGGGUGUGGUGACUCGAGGCUGGGUGAGCAUGUCCAUAAAGGAAGCCAUCCCUAUGGGCAGCUUCUGUGGUCUGUUCACCUAAAGGGCAUGGUUAGCUUGUUUCCACAGUGGUGACGCCACAUCGCCAGCAGGCCCAUGCUUGCCCUGGGUCGUUUCUUUUGAGAGGAUCAUAUGAAUUAGAAAUCAUCUCUGGAGUAAUCAGCUCUCUUCCCUGGAAAUUACCAACGAUUGCCAGAUUCCCCCACCCUCACCCCCGACAAUUAAUGUAAGACGAAACCAAUAAUGCACCCAUUAAGGAAAACAUGCAUACAUAUGCAAACACGUACGUCUACAGUAUUCUGAUUUGAAUGUGGAGUGUCCCAUGUAAGUUCCUAUGUUUGAACCCCAAUCUCCAGCUCAUUUGCUGUGGGUCACUGGAGCUGGGCCUGGAGAGACUACAGCAUGACCCCUCUUCCCAGCCACGAUCUGCUUCUAAACUGUGGACGCAGCGUGACCUGCUGCCUGUCUCCUGCCACGGGCUUUUCUCACCAUGAGAAAGCCCAAAUAAACCCUUCCAAAACAUUUUUUAUUAUUUAAUAUUAUUGGGAGGAGGGUGCGUGACCAGUAGCGGUCAGAGGAUAAUUUUAUGCUCUUCUCUACCUGUACAUGAGUUCUGGGCAUCCACCUCAGGUUGUCAGGCUUGGAGACAGUUGCUUUACCUACUGAGCCAGCUUGUGGGCCUUAAACCCUUUGAGAAAUUGAUCUUUGUCCCGUGUUUUGUCUUAGCACAAAGAAAAGAAAUUGUCACACAGACUCAUGGCACCCUCUUUGUUUCCAGGUCAACGAUGUGGUUGCACUCUCUGUGGAGGAGGACGGCUGGUAUCAGCCCUCUGCACCUUGUUGUGUUCCUGCUGACAAAGUGAAUUCUGCCUCCAAGUGUGUACCACUCCCUUAAGGCCCCCACUUCCUGCUGGGCCAUUUGUUAUAAGGCUUGGUUCCCAGGCCUGUGGGGGGUUUAUCAGCCUUCCCUCCCUGAGAAAAGAGAUUGACAUCUAGCCACAGGACAGCCUCUCCUUGGAGUUCCAGGAAAUUCUUUUUGAGUGACAGGAGGUGGUACUCCAGGUGGAACCAACAUUAACUCAGCUUGUCACUGUCACAGGAAUCCUAAACGUAGAUGUCUCACUGACCCCAAGUCCCUUGCUUCUUUGUCUCCCAGAAAAACACAUUCCCCCACUGACCCAGUGUCCCGAGCUGGCCCAGGACAGUGUCUCGUCUUACCUUUUCCACAAGGACAGAGAUGCCAGAAGUCUCCUGGGGGGUCUUUAGAGAAGAACGGGGGCAGCCCUAGAACUGAGAGCCAAUGUAUAGGCUGGUUUCUGUGUGGUCAAACUUGUGCCUCCCUGAUUUACCCCAGUCCUGGCUUGCUCAAAGCCCGCGUCUUUAACUCUAGUCUGCUGCUCUAUGCUGGCAAUGUCUGUCUACAGUCUGUCUAUUCUGUCCUCCCACCACCUAGACCCUCUGCUUUUUUCUCUGAUACACACCUGCGCAUGUGCACACAUGCACACACACACACACACACACACACACACACACACACACACACACACACAGAACACACAUAGUUUCUAAAUCGUCUCCUUGUUCCCACAGCCCAUCACAGGGGCACUCAGGACC
Molecule: long non-coding RNA, 1845 nt
Filed under: Mus musculus (house mouse)
Lineage: Eukaryota; Metazoa; Chordata; Mammalia; Rodentia; Muridae
Description: long non-coding RNA chr4:47421295-47423140
Source: RNAcentral